AAUAUUUUGGCAGAAACCUAAUGCAAAAGACUUAGAAUCUUACUAACCAUCU
Molecule: transfer RNA, 52 nt
Filed under: Dysdera valentina
Lineage: Eukaryota; Metazoa; Arthropoda; Arachnida; Araneae; Dysderidae
Description: tRNA-Leu
Source: RNAcentral